Molecule: long non-coding RNA, 4676 nt
Filed under: Olea europaea subsp. europaea
Lineage: Eukaryota; Viridiplantae; Streptophyta; Magnoliopsida; Lamiales; Oleaceae
Source: RNAcentral
AUGUGAUUAAAGAAUCCCUAGUUCAAAAGACCUUGCACAUGGGAUCAGAAUAGUCGGUGCAUUUAAUGAUUGAACCAACCGCGUUUUUUUAGCCCAACCGCGGACCCAUUUGCAAUUGAACCAACCGUGUUUUUUCUUUUGCGUUACAGCCUGCUUUCCAAAUCCCCAAUCACGUUACCUAGGUAAGUCUUCUUCCUCAUUCCAAAACCCGACUCCUUUGUUGCCGUCUGCUGCUAUUUAAUCUCUAAGAAAAUCCAUAUCUCCAAUUUGAAGUCUUAAGAUAUGGAAGAGGAAGAGGUUAGUAUGAAGCCAGUAGAAAUAGAUUUUGAUUGAUUAGUUGAAAAUAUUCCUGUGGUGGAUUUCAAAAUUUUUAGAACAAUAUAUAGUUGUUUUUGUGCAAUUUAAGAUUCUUACAAAGCUUAAUUGCAUAAAAAUAUUCCUGUGGUGAAUCUUGUUUUUAGAACAAGAUAUAGUUGGUUUUCAGACUUGCAGUGGACUGCAUCUUCGGAUUCUUCGCUUUUAGGAUUUGGAAUUAAAUUUACAUAAUAAUUUGCUAUUCUUUAUAUUCCCUUGAGUUGGGUGUUUACAUGAAUUGGACAGAUUUUUAUCAUCUUAUUACUUUACAUUCAUUGUCCAUUCCAUGUAUUUCUUGAACCACGAAAUCUGUUGAAGACAGAUUCAAGAUUAGUCUUUCAGUUUAUAUCAAUUUUGAUUGGUGAAAGGCUUUAAAUCUAUUCAGUUUGAGGUGUUAAUUAUUUGAUUGGUGGUUUUGUAGAACAUUUUCUGCUAAAAUAUUGCUGAUCUUUGUUGUCAAGAUGCUUAGAGCCGGUUCCUUGUUAGAGACACUGACACAGUUAUUACCAGGACUUGUUUAAUGGAGUAAUAACAUAUUUCCUUGUUGGAGACACUUACACAUAACAGAAGCAUCCAUGCAUACCCCUCAAUCAUGAGUAUACAAAAUCUUGAAGGAAACAAACAAAUGAUUAAUUGUGAAAUACUAAUAACCAUCUGAAAAAAAAUAAUAAUAAUAAAAUAAAAAAUAUAUAUAUGUGUGUGUGUGUGUUUGUGUGUGUGUGUACACUCAAGGUGGUUGGUUGUAGGAUAAUUUUGCUUUUGGUGGAUUUCACUAGUUUCAUUACCUUUUUUGUUUGGUAAACUCAAAUUGAAAAUAUCGUAAUUCAUAGUCUCCAAUGUUGAAUAAUAGUCAUAACUUGUAUAUAUGAGGUCAACACUUGGCAACAAAUUUCCCAUAUGAAUUGGUUCUUAUCACUAUUGCAAUAUCAUUUAAUGGUGAAUACUAAAUCUUUGUAAUUGAACUUGUUUUCUUUGUAUAGUUAACUGGUGUUAAUAGUAUACCGCAUAGUUCUUCUCCAACAAAGAAUCGUGCAAGAGGAAGAACUGAUAUGGCAUGGGGCCAUUGUAGAGAGGUUUUAGAAGCUGGUUAAAAAAAAAAAAAAAAAAAAAAAAACCUUGUUUGCCUGUAUUGUGGAAAGACUUUUGGUGGAGGUGAUAUUAAUCGAGCCAAAUAACACUUAGCGGGAUUAAAUGGUGAUUUAGAUUCUUGUCAUAGAAUACUUCCUGAUGUUAGAUUUAAAAUGAAAGGAAACUUGGACAUCUUUGCCGCAAAGAAGCGUAGAGCUCAAGAAGUUCUUGAUAAAUGUAACCCACAUAGCUCUUAUUAUCGAGAACAAGAAAAGCAAAUGUAUAGAGAUUUGGGUGAUGAUGUUCAAGAGAUCAUCCCUCCUAAUUCUAAAGGAAAUGAUAUAGCUAUUGAGAAAAAGUCAAAGAAAAGGAAUGGGAGCUAAACAUUUAAAAGAACAAAAAGUAAUUAGUUCUUACUUCAUGUCAAGAAUAAGACCUGAUAAUCAACCUACUAUCAAAAGUGUCGUUCAGAGCAAAGAAACUAUAGAGAAAUGUGAUCUCACUAUAUUGAAAUGGAUGAUUGAUUCGUGUAUUCCUUUCAAUGCUGUAAAUUCUGUGUAUUAUCAACGAAGUAUAGAUGCUAUAGCUAGCAUGGGUCUUGACUAUAAAGAUCCGAACUUUCACAGAAUUAUGUUGAAAGCUAUCGUUCAACGUGGAAGACGACUGAUUGUACAAUUAUAGCAGAUGGUUGGACAGAUCAAUGUAAAAGAACUCUUAUUAAUUUUUUAGUUUAUUGUCCAAAAGGAACGGUAUUCUUAAAAUCUAUAGAUGCUUCAUAUUUGACUAUAUAUGAUUCAGAAUUUGUGAAAUUGGGAUACAAAUUGAUAUUUAGUUAACAAAAUAAUAUGAGGUUAAUUUAGUUAUUCGUGGAAAAUGGAAAAAAAUUAUUAUUCAAUGAAAAUAGAUAAUAAUAUUUUUUUAUAGGAUUUGACCCGCCGGUUGAACCACCGAGUCACCAGUUGAACCACUGACCCGUUGACCCACUGCAUUAUCCAGGUCGACGUCCAGGUCGGGUCUGACAAUUGGAAUCCAUAAAAAAUUUAUGAUUAUUAAUUAAUUAAUCACGCUUGAAGGUUCCUUUAACGGAUCAGUUUAGAAGUCUUUGCGAUCAAAAUUUAUAUUUGUAAAAUAAGGUGUUCUAUUUAAUCGGAAUCUCUAUGCAAUAUCAAUUUGUGAUUUAUAGUUUCAAUUAUGAUCGUAUGAUUUGUUUAAUCACAUUCUUAUUGCAUUAACAGUGGGGAACAGAUAGAAUCAAAUAUUAACUAUCAAUUGCUGAAUCGUAUGGUAGAAUAAGAUCUAUUUAUUUACCAUUUAAACGCGUCUUCAUUUGUAUUUUUAAUUAAUUGGUGCAGUGAGUAUUCAAUAAAUUAUAGACAUUAUUAUAACUAUAUGGUGUUCGUGCAGGAACGUGACUAAGAAAAAUGUUUCGUUUCAAUUAUUUUCAGCUGAAACCAUGGACUCGUAUGUAUGGCCAAAUCAUUUGAAACUUUAGAUGUGCAGCAGCCUAAGAAAAGUUUUGUUUAUGUAGCUUCGUGAAGCUCCAAGCUAUGGCGUUUCUUUUUGGAAAUGAUAAACAUAGUACUAUACAUUUUUGCACAAAAAAUAUCUUUAUAUUAAUAACAACUUUAGCAUUAAUCGUUCUCACAGUUGUCCGUUUAGAUUACCCUUUUCUUUCUUACAAGAAUCCUGCAGAAAUUUCCCCUACAUACCAUGUAAAGGAUGAUUCAACAAAUUUUGAGCAUCGAAAUGAGAAGUGCGAUAUUUCUGUGGGAGAAUGGAUUCCGAAUCCCGAGGCUCCAUACUACACGAAUACAACGUGUAGGGCAAUACAUGAGCACCAGAACUGCAUGAAAUAUGGAAGGCCGGACGAAGAGUUCAUGAAAUGGAAAUGGAAACCCGAUGGCUGUGAUUUGCCUGUUUUCGACCCGUACGCGUUUCUUGAUAUUGUUAGGGGCAAGUCCGUGGCCUUUGUUGGAGAUUCUUUGGCUAGGAACCAUAUGCAAUCCUUGAUCUGCCUCUUAUCCAGGGUAAAUUCAUAAUUUUAUAUGUAUUUUCAUUUUUACAGUUAAAUAAGUAUGUGCCCUGGAGGCUAUCACAUGUUGAUGAUCAUUCGAUGAAGAAUAGCAGGUACGAAUAGAACUGGAUGACAAAUAUCUUGUUUGAUUUCAGGUGGAGAAUCCCAUCGAUGCACAUUUUAAUGGUUCGGAGUAUUUGAGUUACAAUUUCACAAUUGCCCGGUUUUGGUCGCCCUUUCUCGUGAAGUCCAAAGAGGAAAACUCUGAUCUUUUCAAUCUCUACCUCGAUGAAUUUGACGAAUCCUGGACAAACUAUAUAGAUAAAUUUGAUUACAUUAUUCUCAGUGCCGGGCAAUGGUUUCGCCGGCCAGCCAUGUAUUACGAGAAUCACCAGCUCGUGGGGUGCAACUAUUGCAAAAUUCCAAAUGUCACUAACUUUUGGAUAACUUAUGGCUACGAGAGGGCGUUCAGAACAGCUUUUAAAGCAAUAAAUACUUUAGGAAACUACAAAGGGAUAACCUUUUUAAGGACUUUUACACCAUCCCACUUUGAAAAUGGGGAGUGGAACGAGGGAGGGAAUUGUAUAAGACAAAGACCAUUUAAAAGAAAUGAGAGUAUUUUGGAAGGUAUGAAUAUGGAUUUUUACAUGAUUCAACUCAAGGAAUUUAGGGUUGCGAAAAUCGAAGGGAAGAAGAAGGGGUCGAGAUUUAGAUUGAUUGAUCCAACACGAGCUAUGCUAUUAAGGCCAGAUGGGCACCCCAGUAAAUAUUGGCGUUGGAUACCUGAGAAUGUGAAUGUGACUGAACUCAAUGAUUGUGUACAUUGGUGCUUGCCUGGGCCUAUUGAUUCUUGGAGUGAUUUCUUGCUUCAUCUGUUGAAGAUGGAUCCCUUGCUUGACCAAAGGGAUGAAUAUUAAAUUAUUGAUUAUAAUUUUCAGUGUAUGUAAUCGUUCUAAACAAAAAAUGAUUUUAUUAUAUAUCUCUAAGAGUAUGUAGUAGUGCGACCAAUAAUUAUUUUUCCAUGGAUAUUGAUUGCAAAAUUGAGGAUCGAGUAGCGGAUUCGGCAACAGCAAGUAGGUCUGGCCCUGUCGCCCUGAGAGUUGAAACAUUGUCGAUUUUGAUUCAAAUUUUAUGUGAUGAAUAUAGCAACGUCAUCUAUAGUUUCGUUAGUAACGUUUUCCCUAAGAGAAAUUAGUUGCAGACAAAACUGUUGACAAAAUUACUUAAAAUUGUAAUUUUC